CGCGGCCUAUCAGCUUGUUGGUGGGGUAAUGGCCUACCAAGGCAUCGACGGGUAGCUGGUCUGAGAGGACGAUCAGCCACACUGGGACUGAGACACGGCCCAGACUCCUACGGGAGGCAGCAGUGGGGAAUCUUGCGCAAUGGGCGAAAGCCUGACGCAGCAACGCCGCGUGGGGGAUGAAGGCCCUCGGGUUGUAAACCCCUUUCAGCAGGGACGAAAAUGACGGUACCUGCAGAAGAAGCCCCGGCCAACUACGUGCCAGCAGCCGCGGUAACACGUAGGCACCAAGCGUUGUCCGGAUUUAUUGGGCGUAAAGAGCUCGUAGGCGGUUCAGUAAGUCGGGUGUGAAAACUCUGGGCUCAACCCAGAGACGCCACCCGAUACUGCUGUGACUUGAGUACGGUAGGGGAGUGGGGGAUUCCUGGUGUAGCGGUGAAAUGCGCAGAUAUCAGGAGGAACACCAGUGGCGAAGGCGCCACUCUGGGCCGUAACUGACGCGGAGGAGCGAAAGCGUGGGUAGCAAACAGGAUUAGAUACCCUGGUAGUCCACGCCGUAAACGCUGGGUACUAGGUGUUGGGAGGAUUGACCCCUUCAGUGCCGACGCUAACGCAUUAAGUACCCCGCCUGGGGAGUACGG
This 638-nucleotide ribosomal RNA is filed under the name uncultured bacterium. RNAcentral's name for it is "bacterial SSU rRNA". It matches the Rfam family "Bacterial small subunit ribosomal RNA", at positions 232 to 885 of the family's 1533-position model. The record is from RNAcentral.